UGGUGGAGUGAUUUGUCUGCUUAAUUGCGAUAACGAACGAGACCUUAACCUGCUAAAUAGCCAGGCUAGCUUUGGCUGGUCGCCGGCUUCUUAGAGGGACUAUCGGCUCAAGCCGAUGGAAGUUGAGCAAUAACA
Molecule: ribosomal RNA, 135 nt
Filed under: uncultured eukaryote
Lineage: Eukaryota
Description: partial 18S ribosomal RNA
Rfam family: Eukaryotic small subunit ribosomal RNA
Source: RNAcentral